RNAcentral lists this ribosomal RNA (346 nucleotides) under uncultured bacterium. Its description in RNAcentral is "bacterial SSU rRNA". It matches the Rfam family "Bacterial small subunit ribosomal RNA", at positions 29 to 372 of the family's 1533-position model. The record is from RNAcentral.
AUUGAACGCUGGCGGCAUGCCUAACACAUGCAAGUCGAACGGCAGCACGGCAGUAGCAAUACUGUGGGUGGCGAGUGGCGGACGGGUGAGGAAUACGUCGGAAUCUGCCCAGUCGUGAGGGAUAACUAGCCGAAAGGUUAGCUAAUACCGCAUACGACCGAGAGGUGAAAGCGGGGGACCGCAAGGCCUCGCGCGAUUGGAUGAGCCGACGUCGGAUUAGCUAGUUGGUGGGUAAAGGCCACCAAGGCGACGAUCCGUAGCUGGUCUGAGAGGAUGAUCAGCCACACUGGAACUGAGACACGGUCCAGACUCCUACGGGAGGCAGCAGUGGGGAAUAUUGGACAAU